Molecule: ribosomal RNA, 496 nt
Filed under: uncultured bacterium
Lineage: Bacteria
Description: partial 16S ribosomal RNA
Rfam family: Bacterial small subunit ribosomal RNA
Source: RNAcentral
AUGAACGCUGGCGGCGUGCCUAAUACAUGCAAGUCGAGCGAACAGACGAGGAGCUUGCCCCUCUGACGUUAGCGGCGGACGGGUGAGUAACACGUGGAUAACCUACCUAUAAGACUGGGAUAACUUCGGGAAACCGGAGCUAAUACCGGAUAAUAUAUUGAACCGCAUGGUUCAAUAGUGAAAGACGGUUUUGCUGUCACUUAUAGAUGGAUCCGCGCCGCAUUAGCUAGUUGGUAAGGUAACGGCUUACCAAGGCAACGAUGCGUAGCCGACCUGAGCGGGUGAUCGGCCACACUGGAACUGAGACACGGUCCAGACUCCUACGGGAGGCAGCAGUAGGGAAUCUUCCGCAAUGGGCGAAAGCCUGACGGAGCAACGCCGCGUGAGUGAUGAAGGUCUUCGGAUCGUAAAACUCUGUUAUUAGGGAAGAACAAAUGUGUAAGUAACUAUGCACGUCUUGACGGUACCUAAUCAGAAAGCCACGGCUAACUACGUG